This 370-nucleotide ribosomal RNA is filed under the name uncultured bacterium. Its description in RNAcentral is "bacterial SSU rRNA". It matches the Rfam family "Bacterial small subunit ribosomal RNA", at positions 527 to 896 of the family's 1533-position model. The record is from RNAcentral.
GAAGGUGGCAAGCGUUGUUCGGAUUCACUGGGCGUACAGGGAGCGUAGGCGGUUGGGUAAGCCCUCCGUGAAAUCUCCGGGCCUAACCCGGAAAGUGCAGAGGGGACUGCUCAGCUAGAGGAUGGGAGAGGAGCGCGGAAUUCCCGGUGUAGCGGUGAAAUGCGUAGAGAUCGGGAGGAAGGCCGGUGGCGAAGGCGGCGCUCUGGAACAUUUCUGACGCUGAGGCUCGAAAGCGUGGGGAGCAAACAGGAUUAGAUACCCUGGUAGUCCACGCCCUAAACGAUGACAACUGGAUGUCGGGAGGGUUUGCCUUCCGGUGUCGUAGCUAACGCGUUAAGUUGUCCGCCUGGGAAGUACGGCCGCAAGGUUG